This 672-nucleotide long non-coding RNA is filed under the name Rattus norvegicus (Norway rat). RNAcentral describes it as "long non-coding RNA NONRATT009747". The record is from RNAcentral. Lineage: Eukaryota; Metazoa; Chordata; Mammalia; Rodentia; Muridae.
CUGGGACUGGUGACUGGGGCUGCUGACUCUGGUGGCCAGCUGUGCUGCCGCCCUCUCUAUGAUGACUUUCUAGACCUUGGAAGAAACGAGAAAGGGACUGAACCACCCGGUUUGGCUCGGUGACUCAGCCCUGUGUCUGCUACUCGUCUGGAGGUCACCUGGGAGCUGUCCUGAUUAUCAGAUCUAUUAUUGCUGUCCUUGCCUCCAGGUCCAGGAGGCCAGAGGAUGGUAUCGAAUUCCCCGGAAGUGGAGUUAUGGGAAGUUGUGAGCCAUCAUGGGGACGCUGGAAAUCGAACCCAGGUCCUCUGCAAGGGCAGCAAGGGCUCUUAACCGCCGAGCCAUCCCGCCAGUCCCUAAGAGAUUUCGUGUUGUGUGUGUGUGUGUGUUUUUUUUAACAUCCUGAACUUUGAGCUGAUGUAAACGUGUUCAGUAAAACCACAGGAGUCCAUUGCUUCACGACAAGCCCGGAAAGAUUAGACUAUAAUUGAAAGAUGGUAUGACUCACAGUAGCACAUACCUUCAAGCUCUUUAUUUCCCCUUCAGAGAAACAAACAUGAAGGAGGCUUCUUUUCAAAGAAGCAGUUUUUCAAUGCGCACACUGAUGAAGUUCCUUCGGGGCUUCAUACUUUCACAACCAACUAAGCCAGCCAACCAAUCAACAAACGAAAAAAG